GACGAACGCUGGCGGCGUGCCUAAUACAUGCAAGUAGAACGCUGAAGAGAGAGCUUGCUCUUCUUGGAUGAGUUGCGAACGGGUGAGUAACGCGUAGGUAACCUGCCUUGUAGCGGGGGAUAACUAUUGGAAACGAUAGCUAAUACCGCAUAACAAUGGAUGACACAUGUCAUUUAUUUGAAAGGGGCAAUUGCUCCACUACAAGAUGGACCUGCGUUGUAUUAGCUAGUAGGUGAGGUAAUGGCUCACCUAGGCGACGAUACAUAGCCGACCUGAGAGGGUGAUCGGCCACACUGGGACUGAGACACGGCCCAGACUCCUACGGGAGGCAGCAGUAGGGAAUCUUCGGCAAUGGGGGCAACCCUGACCGAGCAACGCCGCGUGAGUGAAGAAGGUUUUCGGAUCGUAAAGCUCUGUUGUAAGUCAAGAACGGGUGUGAGAGUGGAAAGUUCACACUGUGACGGUAGCUUACCAGAAAGGGACGGCUAACUACGUG
Molecule: ribosomal RNA, 496 nt
Filed under: uncultured bacterium
Lineage: Bacteria
Description: partial 16S ribosomal RNA
Rfam family: Bacterial small subunit ribosomal RNA
Source: RNAcentral